This 433-nucleotide ribosomal RNA is filed under the name uncultured bacterium. RNAcentral describes it as "partial 16S ribosomal RNA". It matches the Rfam family "Bacterial small subunit ribosomal RNA", at positions 29 to 507 of the family's 1533-position model. The record is from RNAcentral.
AACGAACGCUGGCGGCAUGCCUAACACAUGCAAGUCGAACGAGACCUUCGGGUCUAGUGGCGCACGGGUGCGUAACGCGUGGGAACCUGCCCUUAGGUUCGGAAUAACUCCCCGAAAGGGGUGCUAAUACCGGAUAAUGUCUUCGGCCCAAAGAUUUAUCGCCUUUGGAUGGGCCCGCGUUGGAUUAGCUAGUUGGGAGGGUAAAAGCCUACCAAGGCGACGAUCCAUAGCUGGUCUGAGAGGAUGAUCAGCCACACUGGGACUGAGACACGGCCCAGACUCCUACGGGAAGCAGCAGUGGGGAAUAUUGGACAAUGGGCGAAAGCCUGAUCCAGCAAGGCCGCGUGAGUGAUGAAGGCCUUAGGGUUGUAAAGCUCUUUUACCCGGGAUGAUAAUGACAGUACCGGGAGAAUAAGCUCCGGCUAACUCCGUG